This 253-nucleotide ribosomal RNA is filed under the name uncultured bacterium. RNAcentral describes it as "partial 16S ribosomal RNA". It matches the Rfam family "Bacterial small subunit ribosomal RNA", at positions 524 to 776 of the family's 1533-position model. The record is from RNAcentral.
UACGAAGGGGGCUAGCGUUGCUCGGAAUCACUGGGCGUAAAGGGCGCGUAGGCGGCCAUUCAAGUCGGAGGUGAAAGCCCAGGGCUCAACCCUGGAAUUGCCUUCGAUACUGUCUGGCUAGAGACCGGAAGAGGUAAGUGGAACUGCGAGUGUAGAGGUGAAAUUCGUAGAUAUUCGCAAGAACACCAGUGGCGAAGGCGGCUCACUGGACCGGCAUUGACGCUGAUGUGCGAAAGCGUGGGGAGCAAACAGG